GCUGAGGCCCCAGCGGAUGGGACGGGGCCGCGCGCUCCGGAGGGCCGCCCGCUUUGCUGCGUCCGCGACUCCAGCGCUGACCUCACCCGGAGCCGCCGUCCCGGGCACACGCCCACGUGGUCCCGGGGCCGCUCCCGACGCCGACCCCUGGGCGCGCGCCCAGCCCCGGGCAGGGGACACACUCCGCCCCGCACUCAGCCCACCCCAGCAGCGGGAGGCCCCUCGGGGGCAGCCCCCGGCCCCGCGGGGGACGCGAAGCCCUCCGCUCACUUUCGGAACCAGAAGCGUCGCAUCACGGUCCUCCCGAGGGUGCCUUCCUGGGUGCUGCCCGGGCGUCUGCCUUCAGAGCUGCCGGGACCCCCUGACUCUGCGGCGCGGCCGGGCUGCCCGCCGGAGCAGAGAGAGACCAACUCAACGGCCGCUCCCCUCGGGAUCCCCGGCUUUCCCGAUCAGAUGACCUCCCCCGCCGUCGGACCUCUUACCUGGACACCCUCAUGCCUUGGGCACCGGGCAGGGUCCAGUUUGUUUUGUUGUCCCCAGCAUCUCCACAGUUCCUGAACUUGCUAGAAUCUCAUCACUGGAAGUUACUGAGCUGUUUGACAUCCUGCUAGCUGCACCGUGAGGAGCGCGCAAAGAGCUUACAUACGGAGACACGAACGCGGAGUUUAAGAAUUCUAGCCCACAUUUCCAUACUAGCUUCUUUUCCUACCUCCACACUUCCCUUAAUUUUCAGCCUCUCACAGCAAAACAGUUGAAAGAGAAUUUUUCAUGACAAAUGAGAACUAGUUAAUAAAAGAAAGAAAUGCUUUCUGCUAUAGAAGAAAAAAUUAAACCUAUUUAAGUUCACAAAGUCACUAGCAGGGCCCAGAUAACUCCACGUGUUUUGCUAUAAAUAAGAACUGAUCGCUGGGACUCAUAACUGCAACUUUAACACCCAGUGUUUGCCAGCAAAUGGUCCAUGUGGCCUGAGUCACGACCCACAGGCCCUGAGCAGGCGCCCACGGUGCACACAUGGAGCGUGGGGCCAGGUCACCAUGCCCGCCUCAUGCCGUGCAGGGAACCGGCAGUUCCCAUGGCCAGGAUCCUCCCAGACCCGACUCUGCUUGGUGAUCUAACUGGCCCUCCGCCGGGCCACUGCUCCCACACCCAUAAGGCGAUGGGCCAUUCCUGUCAGUGUCACUGUACAAAGAACUCCGUCCAGCACGCCGCCAGAGGCAGAGACGGAGAAGCGCUUGCUCAUGCAGACCACCCAGGAGCAGACGUGAUUCCAGCGCCCCA
This is a long non-coding RNA of Manis javanica (Malayan pangolin), 1278 nucleotides long. RefSeq lists it as uncharacterized. The record is from RefSeq and is a predicted model, not a curated record. NCBI's taxonomy places the organism in Eukaryota, Metazoa, Chordata, Mammalia, Pholidota, Manidae.